GGCGACCGGCGCACGGGUGAGUAACACGUAUCCAACCUACCUCAUACUCGGGGAUAGCCUUUCGAAAGAAAGAUUAAUAUCCGAUAGCAUAUAUUUCCCGCAUGGGUUUUAUAUUAAAGAAAUUCGGUAUGAGAUGGGGAUGCGUUCCAUUAGUUUGUUGGGGGGGUAACGGCCCACCAAGACUACGAUGGAUAGGGGUUCUGAGAGGAAGGUCCCCCACAUUGGAACUGAGACACGGUCCAAACUCCUACGGGAGGCAGCAGUGAGGAAUAUUGGUCAAUGGACGCGAGUCUGAACCAGCCAAGUAGCGUGAAGGAUGACUGCCCUAUGGGUUGUAAACUUCUUUUAUAUGGGAAUAAAGUGGUCCACGUGUGGACUUUUGUAUGUACCAUAUGAAUAAGGAUCGGCUAACUCCGUGCCAGCAGCCGCGGUAAUACGGAGGAUCCGAGCGUUAUCCGGAUUUAUUGGGUUUAAAGGGAGCGUAGGCGGAUUGUUAAGUCAGUUGUGAAAGUUUGCGGCUCAACCGUAAAAUUGCAGUUGAUACUGGCAGUCUUGAGUGCAGUAGAGGUGGGCGGAAUUCGUGGUGUAGCGGUGAAAUGCUUAGAUAUCACGAAGAACUCCGAUUGCGAAGGCAGCUC
This 638-nucleotide ribosomal RNA is filed under the name uncultured bacterium. Its description in RNAcentral is "bacterial SSU rRNA". It matches the Rfam family "Bacterial small subunit ribosomal RNA", at positions 90 to 727 of the family's 1533-position model. The record is from RNAcentral.